GCAAGUCGAACGAUGAACACCGGAGCUUGCUCUGGUGGGAUUAGUGGCGAACGGGUGAGUAACACGUGAGCAAUCUGCCCCCGACUCUGGGAUAACCCCGAGAAAUCGGAGCUAAUACCGGAUACGACACCUCCUGGCAUCAGGUGGGUGUGGAAAGAAUUUCGGUUGGGGAUGAGCUCGCGGCCUAUCAGCUUGUUGGUGAGGUAAUGGCUCACCAAGGCGACGACGGGUAGCCGGCCUGAGAGGGUGACCGGCCACACUGGGACUGAGACACGGCCCAGACUCCUACGGGAGGCAGCAGUGGGGAAUAUUGCACAAUGGGCGCAAGCCUGAUGCAGCAACGCCGCGUGGGGGACGACGGCCUUCGGGUUGUAAACCUCUUUUGGCAGGGAAGAAGCGAAAGUGACGGUACCUGCAGAAAAAGCACCGGCUAACUACGUGCCAGCAGCCGCGGUAAUACGUAGGGUGCAAGCGUUGUCCGGAAUUAUUGGGCGUAAAGAGCUCGUAGGCGGUGUGUCACGUCUGCUGUGAAAAUCCAAGGCUCAACCUUGGACUUGCAGUGGGUACGGGCACACUCGAGUGCGGUAGGGGAGAUUGGAAUUCCUGGUGUAGCGGUGGAAUGCGCAGAUAUCAGGAGGAACACCGAUGGCGAAGGCAGAUCUCUGGGCCGUAACUGACGCUGAGGAGCGAAAGCGUGGGGAGCGAACAGGAUUAGAUACCCUGGUAGUCCACGCCGUAAACGGUGGGAACUAGAUGUGGGGUCCGUUCCACGGAUUCCGUGUCGCAGCUAACGCAUUAAGUUCCCCGCCUGGGGAGUACGGCCGCAAGCUAAAACUCAAAGGAAUUGACGGGGGAAUCUCUAGAGAUCCCCGGUACGAGCUCGAAUCGUAAUCAUGUCAUAGCUGUUCUGUGUGAAUUGUAUCGGCUCACAUCCACACACAUACGAGCGAGCAUAAGUGUAAGCUGGGGUGCUAAUGAGUGACUAACU
RNAcentral lists this ribosomal RNA (988 nucleotides) under uncultured bacterium. RNAcentral's name for it is "bacterial SSU rRNA". It matches the Rfam family "Bacterial small subunit ribosomal RNA". The record is from RNAcentral.